This 253-nucleotide ribosomal RNA is filed under the name uncultured bacterium. RNAcentral describes it as "partial 16S ribosomal RNA". It matches the Rfam family "Bacterial small subunit ribosomal RNA", at positions 524 to 776 of the family's 1533-position model. The record is from RNAcentral.
UACGGAGGGUGCAAGCGUUGUUCGGAAUUAUUGGGCGUAAAGCGCGUGUAGGCGGUCUGUUAAGUCUGAUGUGAAAGCCCUGGGCUCAACCCAGGAAGUGCAUUGGAAACUGGCGAACUUGAGUAUCGGAGAGGUUGGUGGAAUUCUCGGUGUAGAGGUGAAAUUCGUAGAUAUCGAGAGGAACACCGGUGGCGAAGGCGGGUCUCUGGGCCGAUACUGACGCUGAGGAGCGAAAGCGUGGGGAGCGAACAGG